Long non-coding RNA from Bos taurus (domestic cattle), 987 nucleotides. Lineage: Eukaryota; Metazoa; Chordata; Mammalia; Artiodactyla; Bovidae. The record is from Ensembl.
GUGUGGUCUAGCUGAGGCUGUACAUCACACGAUAAAUAGCUGACAGCUUUGGGAAUAUGUGAUUGUCCUGGAAACACAGCAAAAUGGGAAUGAACAGAAAGAACUCAAGGGGGGGAGAAAAGGGACCCUGGUAACACACAGCUGGGGUCAGGAGCGGUACACUUGUGGGGAACAAAAAUAAAAGGAGCACAGAGGUUAAUAAAAUGGGGACACAGUCCUCUCUCCAGACACAGUCGGGCGAAAAUUACUUAUCACCUGCUGGAGUGGAUGUGAGAAGCGGCCCGUGAGCAAGUGUGUGGCAGGGAGUAUUUUGUGAGGCAGAGGCAAUCUCCGCACAGCGCCCUGCAACAGGCUUCCUCAGGCUCCCUGGCGGAGCAGACUCCGCGGCUCUGUCUCCUCAUUAGAGGACAACAGCUGUUUCUCCCUAUAAUUAGCUCACAGAUCAAUAGUUAGCCCCCAGUCCCUUACACCUGUACCACACGCAACAUGGAAAUUACAACAGCACAUGUUGUUUUUUUCUUAAAUUACCUCCACUUACACACGUUGUUAAGCAUCUAAUAGAAAACAACCGUACCUUCCCGGCUCCCUUCCUCCUCGGAAGGCUUUUUAAAAGGUCGCCAUUGAAAUACAUCAGAUUUAAAAUCUGCAAGGUCUUCAGGCCAAACUCACAGGAAAGUCAGGAAAACUAGAAGCUGUGAAGGACACGGAUCUGCUGAAUAUAUUAACCUCGCAUAUGUGUGUGGAUAUGUGUUUUCUAAUCCUCUAAGGAGGAGACAAGUGCUGUUCAGAGCAUUUUAAGCCCUUCGUCUUUCACCACAGACACCAGCAGACCUGACGGGACGCUGCAGAGGCAGCAGCUGCAGUGAGCAGGCAUGAUGAAAGCACCAGGCCGUGAAGCCCCAUUAGGAAAAGCCAGCCUUCCGGGAUGGAGUGGAACUGUUGAGCGUUGCCCUGGAAAUGUGAACUAGAGGCUUGACGUUUGAGCAA